GACGAACGCUGGCGGCGUGCUUAACACAUGCAAGUCGAACGGUGAAGCUCCAGCUUGCUGGAGUGGAUCAGUGGCGAACGGGUGAGUAACACGUGAGCAACCUGCCCCUGACUCUGGAAUAAGCGCUGGAAACGGCGUCUAAUACUGGAUACGAGAAGGGUCCGCAUGGGCACUUUCUGGAAAGUUUUUCGGUUGGGGAUGGGCUCGCGGCCUAUCAGCUUGUUGGUGAGGUAAUGGCUCACCAAGGCGACGACGGGUAGCCGGCCUGAGAGGGCGACCGGCCACACUGGGACUGAGACACGGCCCAGACUCCUACGGGAGGCAGCAGUGGGGAAUAUUGCACAAUGGGCGAAAGCCUGAUGCAGCGACGCCGCGUGAGGGAUGACGGCCUUCGGGUUGUAAACCUCUUUCAGCAGGGAAGAAGCGAAAGUGACAGUACCUGCAGAAGAAGCACCGGCUAACUACGUG
RNAcentral lists this ribosomal RNA (468 nucleotides) under uncultured bacterium. Its description in RNAcentral is "partial 16S ribosomal RNA". It matches the Rfam family "Bacterial small subunit ribosomal RNA", at positions 28 to 507 of the family's 1533-position model. The record is from RNAcentral.